RNAcentral lists this long non-coding RNA (1051 nucleotides) under Marmota monax (woodchuck). The record is from RNAcentral. Lineage: Eukaryota; Metazoa; Chordata; Mammalia; Rodentia; Sciuridae.
UGGCUUAGCCUUGCUGCUCUUGGGCUUGUGGCCAGGCAGCACAUCAUGGCGGGGAGCAGGUGAUGGAGCAGAGUCACUCACUUCAUGGCCAGGAAGCUACAAAGAGGAAGAAGAGGUUCUGGGAUCCUAUUGUCCCCUUCAAGACCUCCCAUGGCCCCACCCCUUAAAGGUUCCGUGAUCUCUCAACUGGGAGCAAACCUUCAGCCACGGGCCUUUGGGAAACAUUUAAGAUCCAGACCACAGCAGGGGAAGUUUUAGACUCUAGAUCUCUGACCUUGAGGGACAGCCAUCUGCUGCAGGUUGAACAGUGUUAUCUGUCCGUCUGUACCAAGGAUGGAUACCUGAGUGACAGCCACAGAGAAGCAUGGCUUCUCGGCUAGGUGGGAAGAUUUAGGUGGUCGGUGUGUUUUGUAGAAUGUAAAAUUUUAUCCUGUAGCAUCUCUUCAUCUGAACCCAUGAUGUUGCUCGAGUCAAAUCGGCUGUGUCAGAGGACAGAGACUUAACUAUUGAAAUACUGUGGGAUGCGGAAAGCACCUCUCUGCCACGCGACCAGCGCUGGCUGCAUGAAAGAAGGUUCAAUUCAUAAGUAAUUGCUAGGGGUUUUAAAUUAAAGAGACAAGACUCUAAUUACCUUUAAAACCAGCUCCAAGGCAGCUUCACCUAGCUCCCACCCCCAUCCACCUAAUGCGGUAGCGAGGUUUACUGAAGAGACUAGAGAGAGAGAGAGAGAGAGAGAGAGAGAGAGAGAGAGAGAGAGAACACGCCAGGGAGUGGGCUUUUAUUAGGAAAAAAAAAAUUCUGGGGAAAAUCCCAUCCAAUGAAGGUUAAGAGGGGCAGCAUCCCCAGGUCAGGGGCAACGAUUGGUCUUCGGGACAGUGGCCAGACACGCCUCUGCACAGACAAGCCCUCAGACCUGGAGAAGGGUGGGGAAAGCUCUGACACAGCUGUGUCUAAGUGCCUCUCACCCAGGCAGGGAGGUAAGUCAGAUCACAUGCGAGGAUGGCCUCACCACAUACCUGUCCCCUGUGUCUACGGCAGGAGGCUACAGCAG